GGCCCGGGAAAGUAAAACUUAGAUAUUCAUUUAUAUCAGAUAUGUAUUUAUUACGGAUUGAGGAGAAGCCAGAACACUCUAAUAGGAAAUGUUCAAUGGACUCUUCAGAAUUAAAUAAACACAUUUGGCAAGUGGGACUCUCGCUAAGAUUCAUCCUAUACAAGACUUUGUUUACAGGUAAACAAUUUGUUCGUAUUAACAUUUUGAGUCUUGCAGACUUGAAGU
RNAcentral lists this long non-coding RNA (225 nucleotides) under Mytilus galloprovincialis (Mediterranean mussel). Lineage: Eukaryota; Metazoa; Mollusca; Bivalvia; Mytilida; Mytilidae. The record is from RNAcentral.